UUGAGCGAUUUACUUCGGUAAAGAGCGGCGGACGGGUGAGUAACGCGUGGGUAACCUACCCUGUACACACGGAUAACAUACCGAAAGGUAUGCUAAUACGGGAUAAUAUAUUUGAGAGGCAUCUCUUGAAUAUCAAAGGUGAGCCAGUACAGGAUGGACCCGCGUCUGAUUAGUUAGUUGGUAAGGUAACGGCUUACCAAGGCGACGAUCAGUAGCCGACCUGAGAGGGUGAUCGGCCACAUUGGAACUGAGACACGGUCCAAACUCCUACGGGAGGCAGCAGUGGGGAAUAUUGCACAAU
Molecule: ribosomal RNA, 301 nt
Filed under: Clostridioides difficile
Lineage: Bacteria; Bacillati; Bacillota; Clostridia; Peptostreptococcales; Peptostreptococcaceae
Description: bacterial SSU rRNA
Rfam family: Bacterial small subunit ribosomal RNA
Source: RNAcentral